AUACGUAGGGGGCGAGCGUUGUCCGGAAUGAUUGGGCGUAAAGGGCGCGUAGGCGGCCCGGUAAGUCUGGAGUGAAAGUCCUGCUUUUAAGGUGGGAAUUGCUUUGGAUACUGUCGGGCUUGAGUGCAGGAGAGGUAAGUGGAAUUCCCAGUGUAGCGGUGAAAUGCGUAGAGAUUGGGAGGAACACCAGUGGCGAAGGCGACUUACUGGACUGUAACUGACGCUGAGGCGCGAAAGUGUGGGGAGCAAACAGGAUUAGAUACCCUGGUAGUCCACACUGUAAACGAUGAAUGCUAGGUGUAGGGGGUAUCGACCCCUUCUGUGCCGCAGUUAACACAAUAAGCAUUCCGCCUGGGGAGUACGGCCGCAAGGUUGAAACUCAAAGGAAUUGACGG
This 395-nucleotide ribosomal RNA is filed under the name uncultured bacterium. RNAcentral's name for it is "partial 16S ribosomal RNA". It matches the Rfam family "Bacterial small subunit ribosomal RNA", at positions 523 to 916 of the family's 1533-position model. The record is from RNAcentral.